CAGUCGCCGCGGUAAUACGAAGGGUGCAAGCGUUAAUCGGAAUUACUGGGCGUAAAGCGUGCGUAGGCGGUUUGUUAAGUCUGUUGUGAAAUCCCCGGGCUCAACCUGGGAAUGGCAAUGGAUACUGGCAAGCUAGAGUGUGUCAGAGGAUGGUGGAAUUCCCGGUGUAGCGGUGAAAUGCGUAGAGAUCUGGAGGAAUACCGGUGGCGAAGGCGGCCCCCUGGACAAAGACUGACGCUCAGGUGCGAAAGCGUGGGGAGCAAACAGGAUUAGAUACCCGCGUAGUCCCUGUCUCUUAUAC
This 301-nucleotide ribosomal RNA is filed under the name uncultured bacterium. RNAcentral's name for it is "partial 16S ribosomal RNA". It matches the Rfam family "Bacterial small subunit ribosomal RNA", at positions 509 to 807 of the family's 1533-position model. The record is from RNAcentral.